Molecule: non-coding RNA, 1524 nt
Organism: Hydra vulgaris (swiftwater hydra)
Lineage: Eukaryota; Metazoa; Cnidaria; Hydrozoa; Anthoathecata; Hydridae
Source: RefSeq, a predicted model, not a curated record
UGUGUGUUUUUGUUUAUAAUUAUUUUUUUAUGUAUGUAAAGUUAUUUUUUAUAUAUACUGAAAAAAGUUAAACUAUAAUUCUCAAUUAUGAGUAAUAAAGAUACAAGUAUAGUUACAAUGAAAUGAUCACAACUUAACAUAAAGUAAGUUUAUGUUACAAUCGUAUCAUAAAUAAAUCUUUUAAUAAAUGUAUAAAGCUAUUUCUAUUUAGAUUAUUUCUACUCCAGUUAGCAAUUGCUUUACAUUAUUUAUACAAGUAGAACUUUUAGUAGGAAUAAUUUUGUAUAUAUAAUAUUGAGCCAUGAUUUUUUUUUGGCCUAACCGGUAGACUUUACUUAGUAACAAGCAUCUAUUAGAAAAAAAUUAAGAAAGCGACUGUAUGUUUAGUAAAAAAAUACAAAAAUAUUUUUUUCACCUUAUAACACUCUAUAGAAAGGCAAUUAAGAAUAUUGACAAACCUAAAUCUUGACGAAAGAACUAAAGAUAUGUAAGAUGCACGCAUAAAGUGAUUCAGAGUUUUCAAGUUCUAAACUUCUAGAAUCAGCUUGUUUUUUCAAGUUUAGCUCUUAUAUGCAAGUUUUUUUAUGAUUUUUUAAAAUUAGUGUUAUAUUUAAAAUUCUUAACUAAAUACUUCAAUGUAAGUUUAUAAAUAAGACUAAAGUGGACAAUUUUUGUAUUUUUUUUUAAUAUAAUUAUUAGAACAAUGAAAAAAACAUAUCAUAAUUGUUUGCACAUUAGAGAAGCUAGUCCUGAUAUUAAAGUGCAAAAAUUUGCCAAAUGUAAGUUCAUCUGUUUUUAUUCAAUAUUUUAUGCUAAAUAAAACCAGAUAAAUGUUUUUUCGAAAUAUUUAAAAAUGUGUAUGUAUUUUUAACAAGUUGCUAACUUACAUUAUACAUAAUAAUACAUUACAAAUUAUACAUAAAACAUUUCUUCAACAAGUUGAAAAAAAAUUUUAGUGAUGCAUUGCUGCAGUUUAUUGUUAUGAUAAACUGCCAUCAUGUUUUAAGUCUGUUAGUGGAACAAGUUUUCAAUCUGCAAUAUAUAUGGAACUACGAUGCCUAAAGUCUUAAAAAGUCUUUAUCUGCAGUGGAUAUCCGGGGGGAAAAGAUUGAGUUUGAAGAUUCAUAAUUUUAUUAUGAUAAAAUUAAUGAUAUAACAAGGUUUGAUAAAAGUGAAGUAAUUUUAAGUAAUAAAGUAAAGUUUUAUUUUUUGUUUUAUUCUUUUUUACAUAAAUGUAUAAAGUUUUCAUAAAUAAAGUAAAAUGUGAUCAAACUAAAUAUAUUCUAUGAUUUUUUAAGGGUCUUUUUCAGCUCUGGUCUUUAAGGGUCUUUUUCAGCUCUGCUAUUAAUGUUUUGGAUGAAAUAAUGUCAAAAUGUGUUCUAUCAUUGUUCAAGAACAUUAGUGUCACAUACAGCAAAGUUCGAUUUGGUCGACAAGUUGAAAGGCGAUUUUUUGAAGAAAAUAAUAGAAUAAUUAGCUUAAUAGAAUAGCAUGUUUUUGUAUCCUUAAAUUGUAAAUAAACAC